Photinus pyralis (common eastern firefly) is the source of this 1146-nucleotide long non-coding RNA. RefSeq lists it as uncharacterized. The record is from RefSeq and is a predicted model, not a curated record. The transcript is spliced from 3 exons. Lineage: Eukaryota; Metazoa; Arthropoda; Insecta; Coleoptera; Lampyridae.
UAAAUUUCUUAAUGCAAAUAACCUGUUAAUAUUCAUCUAAGGUGUGUUUACACCACCAUGUAUUCUGUAGUACACCAUGGCAGACAACAGAGGGCACACUCAGAUCAGCACUAUUAGUCACUAGACCAGUGACUUUAAGUCGUAAGCACUAUUAGGUAUGUUUGAUUAUCCGUGAAUUGUUUCCGCUUUACGGAGUACUGACACAGGAGGGCCCUGCAUAACUUGAUCCGACCGCAGGGCCGGCCCAGAGGGGGGGCGAGGUUCCUUACGGCGCAAAGGAGCAAUAGGCGCCUCGGAAAGAGCACAUUGCCGAAAAUGUGCAUUGCAUUUUAUAAACAAAAUGUCCAAACUAUUCACAUUAAGGAUUGUUGUGUAAAUUACGGAAGGUCAAGUAAAGUAAAAAAUAUGAGGAAAUGAAAACCAUCCGAUUGGUUGUCCUGAUGAAUCACACUUCCUGGGACGAGUUGAGGGAGGUGUGUGGGUGUCGUCUACAUCAGAGCUUCUCCAGGGUUUACCUUUAAAGCCAUUGACCGAAGCCAAAGAGAAAGACAUUUACGAAGGCGAGGUCAUAGAGACGGAAGGGGAUCUCUAACCUGGAACCACACCUGAUAUAGCUGCAACAGCAUAAGGUUGAGAGGAUACAUGAUUCAAGAAACCUGCUGGGGUAUAAAGGCGAGCUUGGCUUUAUUAUCAGAAAUUGUCGUGAUUUUUCCAAUAUUUUUGCUAUCAAAUCUCCAUAUGCUGCUUAUGUGCGAUCCAAACUGGAGUAUGGUUCUCUUAUUUGGUAUCCUUACUAUGACUGCCAUAAAACAACCCUGGAAGCAGUGCAGCGUAAGUUUCUGAAGUUUUUAUCGUUUAAAUUGGACAGAGUUUAUCCCGCAAUUGGUACUGAUCAUCAACUACUGCUAUCUCGAUUUCAGGUACAUUCCUUAGAAGUUCGCAGAACUCUGUCAAGCCUUAACUUUCUCUUCAAUUUGUUACACAAUAACCUAGAUUGUCCAUCUCUUCUUUCCCUUAUUCGGUUUCAUGUGCCACGUUCUUCGGCUCGUAAUGUAUAUACUUUCAAUUGUGCUAAGGCCAAUACAAACUUACUUUGUAAAUCACCUAUAUUUGUUAUGGUAAGCAACUUUAACAAAAUUGCUAAUA